AGCCCUGGGUCCCUGAACAAUGCUGGUAUCACUUACUCCUCCUCCUCCUCUUUGAAACUCAUGUUGCUAGAAGAGCACUCCAGGCCUGCCCAGAUCUCCUGAGUUGCAAUCUCAGCCUCCUGAGGGUUUCUCUGAGUAACAGCCUGGCUGUCCUGGAACUCACUCUGUAGAUCACUCGAACUCAUAGAGAUCUCCUUGCCUCUGCCUCCUGAGUGUUGGGAUUAAAGGUGUUUGCCACCA
Long non-coding RNA from Peromyscus eremicus (cactus mouse), 240 nucleotides. RefSeq lists it as uncharacterized. The record is from RefSeq and is a predicted model, not a curated record. The transcript is spliced from 2 exons. Lineage: Eukaryota; Metazoa; Chordata; Mammalia; Rodentia; Cricetidae.